CGUAGGGUGCGAGCGUUAAUCGGAAUUACUGGGCGUAAAGCGUGCGCAGGCGGUUUGGUAAGACAGGAUGUGAAAUCCCCGGGCUUAGCCUGGGGAAUUGCAUUUGUGACUGCCCGGCUAGAGUUUGGCAGAGGGGGGUAGAAUUCCACGUGUAGCAGUGAAAUGCGUAGAUAUGUGGAGGAAUACCGAUGGCGAAGGCAGCCCCCUGGGUCAAGACUGACGCUCAUGCACGAAAGCGUGGGGAGCAAACAGGAUUAGAUACCCUGGUAGUCCACGCCCUAAACGAUGUCUACUAGUUGUCGGGUCUUAAUUGACUUGGUAACGCAGCUAACGCGUGAAGUAGACCGCCUGGGGAGUACGGUCGCAAGAUUA
This 372-nucleotide ribosomal RNA is filed under the name uncultured organism. Its description in RNAcentral is "bacterial SSU rRNA". It matches the Rfam family "Bacterial small subunit ribosomal RNA", at positions 526 to 896 of the family's 1533-position model. The record is from RNAcentral.